UCGGGAAUUUUGGGCAAUGGGCGAAAGCCUGACCCAGCAACGCCGCGUGGGGGAUGAAGUAUUUUGGUAUGUAAACCUCGAAAGAAUGGGAAGAAUAAAUGACGGUACCAUUUAUAAGCUCCGGCUAACUACGUGCCAGCAGCCGCGGUAAUACGUAGGGAGCAAGCGUUGUUCGGAUUUACUGGGCGUAAAGGGCGCGUAGGCGGCGCGGUAAGUCACUUGUGAAAUCUCUGAGCUUAACUCAGAACGGCCAAGUGAUACUGCUGUGCUAGAGUGCGGAAGAGGCAACCGGAAUUCUUGGUGUAGCGGUGAAAUGCGUAGAUAUCAAGAGGAACACCUGAGGCGAAGGCGGGUUGCUGGGCCGACACUGACGCUGAUGCGCGAAAGCCAGGGGAGCAAACG
RNAcentral lists this ribosomal RNA (402 nucleotides) under uncultured bacterium. RNAcentral's name for it is "bacterial SSU rRNA". It matches the Rfam family "Bacterial small subunit ribosomal RNA", at positions 355 to 774 of the family's 1533-position model. The record is from RNAcentral.